UUCGCCGGAGGAAGCGGGCUGGGGACUUUCGGCACUCCGGGGCUGUCCCCAAUGACGCCUGACUCCGACGCACCACUGCACCAGGGCUUGAUAAUGAGGACACUCGGCGGGGAUUGAGUGUGAACGUUAUAGUCCAGAGGACCCCUCUUUGUGUCCCUCUUGCCAGAAAUAAGAAGGUUUUCUUGGACUUCUAGCUGUCUUCCAUAGCAGCAAUAGCUGACUGGGGCCCACACUGGGGCAAAGAGACCCAAAGAUGGAUUCUCCCGGACAGCCGUGGCUUGCCUCCGCCUGCUGGACCAACAAUAGGAGACCAAGGACAACUGGCUGAAUCCACCCAUCAGGACCAGCUUUCACAGGAACUCACCGAUGACAUGGAACGUAUCGCAGAUUCAUUAACAUCCCUUCAGAUACAACUCUCCAGUCUGGCAGCAGUAGCCUUCCAGAAUGGGUGAGACCUAGAUCUCCUCAUUACUGAAAAGGGAGGAACCUGUCUCUUCCUACAGAAAGAAUGUUGCUACUAUAUCAAUCAGUCUGGAUCUUCAUUUCCAAGGUUCUCGAGCUCCAGGAACACAUCCAGUGUUGUCAAGAAGAAAUCACAUCUUGGGGUUUCAACCCACAAUCAUGGACAUCCUGGCUAUUACCCCUAGCAGGCCCUUUAUUGUCCUUACUCCUCCUAGUUAUCUUCGGUCCUUGUCUCCUCAACAGCUUCGUCUGUUUCAUCAGAAAUUACCAUCUCUCAACACAGGACUACCUCCUAUCCCCUUGCCCUCCAAGGGGAUAGGAGGGCAAGGAUACGGGCAGUCCUGUAUUGAGAGGCAUUAUUGCUGUCCUGCUUGGUUAAGAAAAGAAAACAAGUUCCCUGGGAUGAUUUAGCACUCUCUUGAGAUGCUUCCGUAUAGAUUAUACUUCCGCAUAAAGGGGGCCAAUCAGACCUGAGAGACCAUGAAUAGCAUCCUGUUACCAUCCCCCAUCACCGGUAACCAUAGAAACUCACCCCUAACCCUGUUGGGUGCUCAGUCUUUGGGGAACAAUCCCACUGAGCCCACCAUUGAAAAUAAAGCUGUGUUCUUCCAGAUUUCCAUGUGCCACUUGAGUUUCGCUGGUAGCUUCAGAUUUUCCCCAGCAGUAUCACUGGUAAGUGGGUACCUUCUGGCACUAAUAACUGAGCUCUCUUACAUUUGCAAUAUUGAGUCUACCAUAACUUAUAUUAAGUCAUAUUACAGGUCUAUUAGGAAAAGAUCUGUUCUUGGUUCUAGAAUUAACUGAGAGUUUAAGGUGGUAAUGAUCCAGUCUCUGAGGUUUACAUUUGUAGAUUCAAGGAGAAUUUUCUAAAAGUACAGAUAAAUUGAGCAGAUUUUAUUUAUACAUGGUUAGUCGUAUUCAGAAAAAAAUCUGUUAGUAACAAUGGAAAAUAACUUUGUAUAAAGUUCCAACUCAUUAAUUCACUACAAGAGUCAUAAUUGAGAUACAUUAAAAUAACUUUUUUUAGUUGACCCGAAUUUUUUCCUUAAUUAUGGCAUGUAAUCCUUGUGUUCUAAAGUAUCUGUAAUUACAACUUAAUAAGCAACCAUAAAAAUAUUUGCUCUUGAAAUAAAUAGGUCUUACUCAAACAAAAAAGUAAGGAAUUUAAAUAAUAAUGUAAAAUAGUAUGUUUAACACUCAUACCUAAAAAACUCUGUAAUUUUAAUCUGGGAAUUUGUGGAAAGUAAAAUUUAUUAGGUCGUGAGGACAGCAGUGACUUUAGGUAAAGUUGUGGAGUAUAUGAAGUUGUGGCUGGGCUUAGUGCAAUCUGUGGAGAUAUUGCAGGAUAGAGGGGAGGGUGGUUCUAACCUCUAGAAAGGGACUCAGAAUUUAGAAAUGGAGUAAUAAAAUACCAUCAUUUAGAAGCAAGAUUGGAAGGAUUAACAUGCAAUUGAUUAAAUCAGCCUUUUGAAAAUAGAAUUAACUCACUCUAACAUCUGAUUUGUAGUUAUAAUAUGAAGGUGAACAAAAGUCUCCUAAAGCCAAUCCAUAUUCCUGAGGGAAUUCUUUUACAGGAAAUAAUAGCUUCUAUUUAUUGAUCACUAUAUAUUCAGUAGUGUGCUAAGAACUUUACAUCCAUGAUCACAUUUAGAAUCCUGCCAAUCUUUAGGAAAGAUAUUGUUAGCUUUGUCUAUUGAUGAGAAAUCAAGGUUUAGAAUUAUAAUUACCUUGUGCAGGGCUAUAAAAUGUAACAUAUGGUGACUCAAGUCCAAUCCCAGCUCUAUUACAUGUUAACUAUGUGACCUUAGGCAAUUUACUUGAUCUAUAUUUUGUUUCUUCACAGAGGAAAUAAAGAUGAUGUUAAUAGUACUUGUAUUUUAUUUUUUUUUUUUAAGAUUU
Molecule: long non-coding RNA, 2361 nt
Organism: Lutra lutra (Eurasian river otter)
Lineage: Eukaryota; Metazoa; Chordata; Mammalia; Carnivora; Mustelidae
Exons: 4
Source: RefSeq, a predicted model, not a curated record